CAGUCGCCGCGGGAAUACGUAGGGUGCGAGCGUUAAUCGGAAUUACCGGGCGUAAAGCGUGCGCAGGCGGUUAUAUAAGACAGAUGUGAAAUCCCCGGGCUCAACCUGGGACCUGCAUUUGUGACUGUAUAGCUAGAGUACGGUAGAGGGGGAUGGAAUUCCGCGUGUAGCAGUGAAAUGCGUAGAUAUGCGGAGGAACACCGAUGGCGAAGGCAAUCCCCUGGACCUGUACUGACGCUCAUGCACGAUAGCGUGGGGAGCAAACAGGAUUAGAUACCCCGGUAGUCCCUGUCUCUUAUAC
RNAcentral lists this ribosomal RNA (301 nucleotides) under uncultured bacterium. Its description in RNAcentral is "partial 16S ribosomal RNA". It matches the Rfam family "Bacterial small subunit ribosomal RNA", at positions 509 to 807 of the family's 1533-position model. The record is from RNAcentral.